UACAGAGGGGGCAAGCGUUAUUCGGAAUUAUUGGGCGUAAAGGGCGCGUAGGCGGCUUGGCAAGUGGAUGGUGAAAUCCCUCGGCUUAACCGAGGAACUGCCGUCCAAACUGCUUUGCUUGAGACCGGGAGAGGUGAGUGGAAUUCCCAGUGUAGCGGUGAAAUGCGUAGAUAUCUGGAGGAACACCGGUGGCGAAGGCGGCAUCCUGGACCGGCAUUGACGCUGAGGCGCGAAAGCGUGGGGAGCGAACAGG
RNAcentral lists this ribosomal RNA (253 nucleotides) under uncultured bacterium. Its description in RNAcentral is "partial 16S ribosomal RNA". It matches the Rfam family "Bacterial small subunit ribosomal RNA", at positions 524 to 776 of the family's 1533-position model. The record is from RNAcentral.